This 253-nucleotide ribosomal RNA is filed under the name uncultured bacterium. RNAcentral's name for it is "partial 16S ribosomal RNA". It matches the Rfam family "Bacterial small subunit ribosomal RNA", at positions 524 to 776 of the family's 1533-position model. The record is from RNAcentral.
UACAGAGACUGCAAGCGUUAUUCGGAUUCACUGGGCGUAAAGGGUGCGCAGGCGGCCAAGUGUGUUAGGCGUGAAAGCCCGGGGCUUAACCCCGGUAUUGCACCUAAAACUACAUGGCUAGAGCAUUGGAGAGGGUAGCGGAAUUCACGGUGUAGCAGUGAAAUGCGUAGAUAUCGGGAGGAACAUCAGUGGCGAAGGCGGCUACCUGGCCCAAUACUGACACUCAGGUGCGACAGCGUGGGGAGCAAACAGG